UGGUGGCAUUCAAAGGACAACAUGCCUACCUGAUACAAUCUUCCUAUAGUAAAAAUUGUCAUUUCCUGCUUGUGGUAUUGUAAGCAAGUUCUGCAAGUCUCAAAUGAUAAGACAGCUUC
Molecule: small nucleolar RNA, 119 nt
Organism: Triticum dicoccoides
Lineage: Eukaryota; Viridiplantae; Streptophyta; Magnoliopsida; Poales; Poaceae
Product: small nucleolar RNA snoR104
Exons: 1
Source: RefSeq, a predicted model, not a curated record